This 59-nucleotide transfer RNA is filed under the name Loxodonta africana (African savanna elephant). It matches the Rfam family "tRNA". From Rfam's summary of the family: Transfer RNA (tRNA) molecules are approximately 80 nucleotides in length. Their secondary structure includes four short double-helical elements and three loops (D, anti-codon, and T loops). Lineage: Eukaryota; Metazoa; Chordata; Mammalia; Proboscidea; Elephantidae. The record is from Rfam by way of RNAcentral.
GGUGGUUAAGCGCUCGGCUGCUAACCGAAAGAUCAGUGGUUCGAAUCCACCAGCCACUC